UAAGGAAUAUUGGUCAAUGGGCGGAAGCCUGAACCAGCCAUGCCGCGUGCAGGAUGACUGCCCUAUGGGUUGUAAACUGCUUUUGUCCAGGAAUAAACCUAGAUACGUGUAUCUAGCUGAAUGUACUGGAAGAAUAAGGAUCGGCUAACUCCGUGCCAGCAGCCGCGGUAAUACGGAGGAUCCGAGCGUUAUCCGGAUUUAUUGGGUUUAAAGGGUGCGUAGGCGGCCUAUUAAGUCAGGGGUGAAAUACGGUGGCUCAACCAUCGCAGUGCCUUUGAUACUGAUGGGCUUGAAUCCAUUUGAAGUGGGCGGAAUAAGACAAGUAGCGGUGAAAUGCAUAGAUAUGUCUUAGAACUCCGAUUGCGAAGGCAGCUCACUAAGCUGGUAUUGACGCUGAUGCACGAAAGCGUGGGGAUCGAACAGGAUUAGAUACCCUGGUAGUCCACGCCCUAAACGAUGAUAACUCGAUGUUGGCGAUAGACAGCCAGCGUCCAAGCGAAAGCGUUAAGUUAUCCACCUGGGGAGUA
Molecule: ribosomal RNA, 527 nt
Filed under: uncultured bacterium
Lineage: Bacteria
Description: partial 16S ribosomal RNA
Rfam family: Bacterial small subunit ribosomal RNA
Source: RNAcentral